Molecule: ribosomal RNA, 281 nt
Filed under: Enterobacter hormaechei
Lineage: Bacteria; Pseudomonadati; Pseudomonadota; Gammaproteobacteria; Enterobacterales; Enterobacteriaceae
Description: partial 23S ribosomal RNA
Rfam family: Bacterial large subunit ribosomal RNA
Source: RNAcentral
GGCGCUGGAGAAUUGAGGGGGGCUGCUCCUAGUACGAGAGGACCGGAGUGGACGCAUCACUGGUGUUCGGGUUGUCAUGCCAAUGGCACUGCCCGGUAGCUAAAUGCGGAAGAGAUAAGUGCUGAAAGCAUCUAAGCACGAAACUUGCCCCGAGAUGAGUUCUCCCUGAGACCUUGAGUCUCCUGAAGGAACGUUGAAGACGACGACGUUGAUAGGUCGGGUGUGUAAGCGCAGCGAUGCGUUGAGCUAACCGAUACUAAUGAACCGUGAGGCUUAACCUU